Long non-coding RNA from Acinonyx jubatus (cheetah), 4733 nucleotides. RefSeq lists it as uncharacterized. NCBI's taxonomy places the organism in Eukaryota, Metazoa, Chordata, Mammalia, Carnivora, Felidae. The record is from RefSeq and is a predicted model, not a curated record. The transcript is spliced from 2 exons.
AUAUGUCCCAUUUUAUAAUGUAAAACAUUGAUGGGAAUAAUAGCAAUAAGAAUCCAGCCAGUAUCCUCCAACAUGAUAGAAAAUAAAGUUUGCUCUUUUUCUAAAAACAUUAAUAAAUGUUUUUAAAUGUCACCUCUCUCUUAUUUAAAUGAAAUGCAUUCCUUGUGUUUACAACUUGAGAAGAAAAUCUUCUUAAUAGAAAAUUGAUGCAAAUAUGGUUUUCAUUUUUUUUUUUUUUCAAUAAAGUAGUGACUUGGGUUCUUGGCUGCUUUAGUACUGUUUGAACAACCUUUCCAUGUUUAGGCAAUUUCUCACCUUGUGAAUCCCACCUCUCCAAAGCAGAAGCAGAAAACUUCUUUUCCAGCUAGGGUGUGGCAUGUAACCUUGGCCCAGUAUCAAGCUAGGCCCACCAAUCAGUCUGGGGCUAGUGGAGCACCUGUGAUAAAUGAAAUUUACUUAGUUACUACCUUACUGAUCUGAAAGCAAUUCACAGUAACCCCAGCAGGACCCAGCCUAUCACAUACUCAUACAACAAAUAUUUAUUGCACAGCUAUUAUCUGCCAAGGCAUUGUUCACAUCUGUGAACCAGAGAUACUUGCCCUCAGAGGACAACACUCUAGUCGGGGAGACAGGGAAGAAACACAGCAACAUGUUUUUCAUAUUGAAGAGACUGCUCUGAGAAAGGCAAAAAAUUCAUGAGGUAGGAAAAGGAUAAAUGCUGGAGCAGUGUCCUUGAAAAGGGGGUUGGAAUACAUUCCACACAUGGGGGAAUUAGCGUUCGAUAAGAGCAUGAAUAAUUUCUCCAUGGUUACGAGUGGGAAGGCGGCACACAGGCAUUUCUGCAAUAACGUGAUAAAUGUGCUCCUGAAAAUUUCUUAUUCUCAAAUUCAUGCACUAAAAAUAACAGAAUUCACGGAAGAAAUAUGGGGCAGACCAUUUCAAACCUGUCCAACUUUGGAAAUUGCAUACCAACAAAAACACCAAUUAACAUAGUUUAAAAGAACAUGUUACAUUCCUAAUAAAGUUGACCCUUGAACAACACAGGGGCUAGGGGGCCCUGAACCACACACAGUCAAAAAUCCACAUAUAAUUUCUUCUAAGUCCUCCACAACUUAACUACUAAUAGUCUACUGUUGAACUGAAGCCUUACCGAUAACAUAAAUAACUGAUUACCAUAUAUUUUUUUGUGUGUAUUAUACACUGGAUUCGUAUAUGAAUGUAAGCUAGAGAGAAGAAACGUUAUUCAGAAAGUCAUAAGAGAAAACGCAUUUGCAGCACUGUAGGUGUGUUUAUUGAAAACAAAGUAUAGGCUGGUUGGGUGAGCAGGUCAAGUGCAGUGGCAGCAGAGGGUCGAAGCCUGGUGGCCUUGGCUCAGCAGCAGCAGCCAGAGGGCAGGCCUGUGGGUAGCGACAUUGGCCAAGUACAGUACAGCUGCCCUGUCUCCCUGCAGGUGUCCUCCACCCUGUGACCGUCCCGCAGGAAGGGGUCUGCACCUGGCCCAGCAGAGGCCCCAGUCCUGGAGCCAGGAGCCAGGAAGACCAAGGCGAGACGUUCCAGGCUAAGCUCCUGCAGCAUUCUCCCCGCCUUCCGGAAAUGGUCUUCUGCUUCAGCCCAGCCUCCUGCCCACCAGCCGGGGCCCUUUGCCCAGCCACCCUGUCAGCACACGGGGGACCGGCAGCCUUGCCUGGUCCUGGGCCCCUGGGGUCUGCUGAUGGCCUCGAUGGCCUCACCAAAUACUCAGAGGGCAGCGGCCAUGACCUCUGUACCCUUCGCCUUUGAUUUGCUCCCAAGGAGACGGAGGUGGGCAGUUGUAAAUAAAAGCCUUGUGGCUUUUGCUGUCACGUAAAAGUGGACCCCUGCUGUUCGAACCCCUGUUGUUCAAGGGUCAACUGUACAUCAGUAAAUAAAGGAUUUCGCCUUUCCAAGAAGAAGGCAAAGGCAGCUUGAUAGAAUUUGGCAGAAGGAAGGGUAGAAGCAGAUAUGUACACAGUAAGCACUUCCAAGACGGAACCUGUAGCCCAACGGCCCCAAUAAGAAGAUGCAGUGAAAAGGGCUCACGUAAAGUACCUGAUUCUUCGGCAGUUUGCUCAUUCAGCUCAUUCCACUGGUGUCUCCACAUUCAGCUGCUCUUAUCUGAUGGCACAAAAUAUUAAUGGGGGAAACAUCACUUAGGAACCGACCCAAUUUCCCCAUUAUAGUGACAUCAUCCCCCACCUAGCAAUAAUAUUUGAGUUAAUGCCUAUUACAGAAGCACGCAUUGUAGAACAGACUGUAAGCGGGAGCAGAUGCUGGGAGGGGGGCGGAUGUGGUGGUGGUAGGGCUGUGGAAGUUCUCUUCUGCCUGCUUCAGUUUUCUCAGUGAGAAAUUAUGUGGUAAUUUCCCCAGAUCCUGCCUCUGUGCCUGGAACGGUGCCCUCAGCAAAUGCAGAAACCCCACAAUGGCUUCCACAGCAUGGGGGUAAGCAUGGCGUCUGUUAAUGGAGGGCCAAGAGGCCAUCCUCCCGGGGCUCCCCCUUCCUGCUAAAAUGGCCAAACAAAACCAAUAGUUCCUCCUUUGUAGGAACUGCAACGAUUCGUGCCAUUAAGGAGAAAGAAGCACGGAGGCCUCGCGGAAUUCCUUGGCAACAGAAGGCAAUCGAUGUCACCCUCGGGUUUGCUGCUCUGACUCAUUUACUUUUAAUGGAGCCUCGCGCAAGGGAGGGAGCUCUCCAGCUGGCCCAGGCCCCCUGCGAGCAGCUCUGCAUACUUGUCCUUAUGACCCCGUGCUCAGAAAGCCUGUGACCCACCUGGCCGCUGUGCAGAGCCUGCAGCAAGUCCUAAUAGGGGAAGCAUAGCUGUCGCCUCUUAGCUUUUGGAGCAAAGCCAAGCUCUCCCAUGCAAGUAAUUAUUCUCCUUUCAGAAAGAACUCUUGGCUGGCCCCUGAGGGCUUGACCACGGGGCACUAGGUGACCCUGGGACCUAAACUGCCCAUGUUGAACUCAGAGGAAUUUUUUUUUUAAUGUGUAUUUUGAUUUGGGGGAGAGAGAGUGAGAGACCAUGGGUGGGGGAGGGGCAGAGAGAGAGGGAGGCAGAGGACCCGAAGCGGGCUCUGGGCCAACAGCAGAGAGCCCAACGUGGGGCCUCGAACUCACGAACCGUGAGGUCAUGACCUGAGCCAAAGCUGGACGCUUACCCGACGGAGCCACCCAGGCGCCUCUGAGAGUGAUUUGACCCGCCAAAACAGAGUUCGGUGAGCCCAGCCCACCAGCACGUUUGCAUCAGAUGGAAGGGGUGUAUACGACCACCAUGGCUGAUGGGCCUUAUGAGCCACAGGAACAGUCGGCGCCUUAUCCUGCCAUGUGCCUCCUGACUUCUGCGCCGCUCCCCUCCCUCACUGCCGUGUUCCCGUGGGGGAAUCCACACCGAGCCGUUCGCCAAAGAGGAAAAAAGUCACAUCUGGUUUGCAGACGGUCCUGCAAAUUUUGCUGGAACCUACUGGAAUUUAACUGCGGGGGCUCUUCAGCCCCACUGGGGCUGAGAGACAAUGGGGAAAGGAAAUGUUCUCAGGGAGCCGAACUUGGAGCAGUCCACCUGGUACACUUUUCCUGAACAGGAGAGACAGCCUGAGAGGCAGAUGCUAACCAUGUCGUGGUAGUGGCUCCCAGGUUGAAAGGACGGUCAGCGUCACGAAAGAAGGUCUGGGAAAAAGGAACGGGAUGGACGUCUCCGAGCUGGGCCCAGUCUAUGGGAGAAUAUUUGUGUCACACUGGAAUGGCCACAAAAGCUACCACCGUGGAGGAGGUUCUGAGUGCGCAGGUGGGAGAUCGCCUGUCCUGUGCCUUCCCUUUUUCCCUGGCCACCCUUGCUCAGUGGCUUCAUGGACAAAGUAGCUGUGGUUUCAGGCAUAGAGAGAGUUCAGUGGCCCACCAAGGACUUCUCCUCACCAAGCGUCUGCUGCCCACUGCUGAUUCACUUUCAGGAGCAGUGACCAGCCCUGAGAUUUGCUGUAAUACCACACUCAGCAGGAAGAUUACAGUGGAGACCCAUUCCGUCGUGGAGAGGGCAAUAACUUGUCCCCACUGGAAUAACGAUGCAUUCGGGGUUUGGAUUCUCCAGGCCGGCAGCACGUCGCAUGGACUUAGCCAAGCUAUCUUCUUCAGCAUCGUUUAUUUCCGGGCAGCAAUGCUUCUCACCAGAGUUCAGUUACAGAGAUGGGAGGGAGAUGAUAAGCCUAUGCUCAGAGGAUUUCUCACCGUGUCCCCCACCACCUAAAACAGAAGGUCUCAUGGCAUGGUGGUACAGCCUACCGAACGCUCCAUUACUGUGGUGGCAGAGAUUAUUCCUUGAGAGGGGGCAAUGCCUCCCUGCAGGAUGCUGUGUGUGCUCUGAUCCAGUGACCAAUAGAUGGUGCUCUUUCUCCCAAAAUCAGAAGACAGAGACCAAUGGGUGAAAGUGGGAGGGGUGUCGGUUACCAUAUCACCUCUUAUUAAGCAAGCCCCAAAAUGGAGCCCACUUUCUGGAAGGGUGGUAGAAUAAGCAUCUGGUCCCAAGGGUCAGCAGGGACAGAGGGCAGCAUUCAGGGCCCAACAUCGAUGGUGCAAGCCGUGGUGUGGGUGCUCAGCGGAGGUGUCAGCGGUAACAAUCCCAUCAUACAGUUUGGAUGGUGUUCCCAGUUGUAGAGCCAGCCGGACAGGUUUUCUGGCCCUCUUAAACACCUUAAUAUAUUUUAAAAUAAACUCCUUUUCUUCUAAGUCA